RNAcentral lists this ribosomal RNA (468 nucleotides) under uncultured bacterium. Its description in RNAcentral is "partial 16S ribosomal RNA". It matches the Rfam family "Bacterial small subunit ribosomal RNA", at positions 28 to 507 of the family's 1533-position model. The record is from RNAcentral.
GACGAACGCUGGCGGCGUGCUUAACACAUGCAAGUCGAACGGAAAGGCCCUGCUUUUGUGGGGUGCUCGAGUGGCGAACGGGUGAGUAACACGUGAGUAACCUGCCCUUGACUUUGGGAUAACUUCAGGAAACUGGGGCUAAUACCGGAUAGGAGCUCCUGCUGCAUGGUGGGGGUUGGAAAGUUUCGGCGGUUGGGGAUGGACUCGCGGCUUAUCAGCUUGUUGGUGGGGUAGUGGCUUACCAAGGCUUUGACGGGUAGCCGGCCUGAGAGGGUGACCGGCCACAUUGGGACUGAGAUACGGCCCAGACGCCUACGGGAGGCAGCAGUGGGGAAUAUUGCACAAUGGGCGGAAGCCUGAUGCAGCAACGCCGCGUGCGGGAUGACGGCCUUCGGGUUGUAAACCGCUUUCGCCUGUGACGAAGCGUGAGUGACGGUAAUGGGUAAAGGAGCACCGGCUAACUACGUG